AAAUUUUGCAUUCCCACCCCUAUCUUUUUUUCAGCCGCCACUUCCUUUUCCCUGCCUUCUUCUUCCUCCAGCGAGCAGCAAGCGCAGGGAGCAGCAGCUUUCCCAGCGCCCCCUCUCUCCCAUGGCUGAGCAGCAGCUCUGCUCGCCCCCUCCCAUGGCGCCUCCGCCUCCCUGCGUGCUCUUUCCUCGCUCCUUGGCGCAGCAGCAAAUUACCAUGGUGCCUCCCUCUGCUGUCCACGAAGAGCAGCCAAGCGCCCCACUGUUGAAGCUCCCUGGAUGGCGCCUAGAAUUUCAGCAGAGAGCUUCUUCUCCAUGGCCAGCCGCCCCUCUGUUGCUGCCGAGCUCCAGCUCUGGCCAGCAGCCAUGGCGCCGAGGAUUACCUGCAGGCGAGCAGCUCGGCCCUUCUUCCCUGCGCCCAGCUAUUCUCCCUGCGCAGCACCUCCUUCUUCUACCUCUUGCCGGCGCCCAGCAGCAGCUCACCCCAUGGAUGGCGCCCAGAAAAUUUCAGCCGGCGCCCCUUCUUUUUCCCCUGCUCGUUCUCCCUCGCGCAGCAGCAGCUCGCCCCACCUCACCUCGCUGCGCAGCUCCUCGGCGAAACGCCGCUGUUCCUGCAGCCCCGGCACAUCCCCCAGCUUCCUCGCUGCUACCGCUGCGCGCAUGCCAAGUGCUCGGCAUAAUGUCGAGGGAGAUGUGUUGUUGCAGCACGCCGUGACGCUCGCUGGGUGUUCAAUGUUUUUGGCGCAGCCCCGCUCGCGACGCCGUUGAAACCCGUGCUAGCCGUCAAUCGCCAUUCGUCACGCACGCGCGUUCGAUACAAGACCGGUCGGGUGAACCACGUGCUUGCAUAACUCAAAUCCGAUCCCGCUCAGGUUGAUUGAUUUAUAGUUUACCAUACGUAUGAUUUGGUUGAUGUCAUGCAAUGCGCGUAUAUGUGGGGAUAUGUGUAUAAAAUGUCUUGAUUAUACGCAUUAGUAGGUUCGCAUUUGCGGUUGGAGAACAAGAAGUUGUUUGAUGUGUGCGAUUUGUAGUUUGUCUAAAUACGUUUGGUCGAUGUGGUGUGUAUUGGUGUUUGAAUAUAUGUGGCUGCGAUGAUUCAUUUAUGCGUCACAAGGAUGGUUCGUGGAUGGUGUUAGUCGUUUGUUAAAAUACUUCGUCAUAAAGCAGUGUGUUAGUCGGGGUAAAUCUAAUAAAAAGUAAAA
Zea mays is the source of this 1199-nucleotide long non-coding RNA. RefSeq lists it as uncharacterized. The record is from RefSeq and is marked validated. Lineage: Eukaryota; Viridiplantae; Streptophyta; Magnoliopsida; Poales; Poaceae. The transcript has 2 exons.